This 74-nucleotide transfer RNA is filed under the name Bacillus sp. UFRGS-B20. Its description in RNAcentral is "tRNA-Ile". The record is from RNAcentral. Lineage: Bacteria; Bacillati; Bacillota; Bacilli; Caryophanales; Bacillaceae.
UGGCCUAUUAGCCUCAGCUGGUUAGAGCGCACGCCUGAUAAGCUGAGUCAGUUUCGAGUCCAUUAGGCCCACCA